UACGUAGGGGGCAAGCGUUGUCCGGAUUUAUUGGGCGUAAAGAGCUCGUAGGCGGUUUGGUAAGUCAGGUGUGAAAUCUCCACGCUCAACGUGGAGGGGCCACCUGAUACUGCCAUGACUGGAGUCCGGUAGAGGAGUGUGGAAUUCCCGGUGUAGCGGUGAAAUGCGCAGAUAUCGUAAGGAAGACCAGUGGCGAAGGCGGGUCUCUGGACAGUUCCUGACGCUGAGGCACGAAAGCGUGGGGAGCAAACAGG
Molecule: ribosomal RNA, 254 nt
Filed under: uncultured bacterium
Lineage: Bacteria
Description: partial 16S ribosomal RNA
Rfam family: Bacterial small subunit ribosomal RNA
Source: RNAcentral